Long non-coding RNA from Brassica napus (rape), 1064 nucleotides. RefSeq lists it as uncharacterized. The record is from RefSeq and is a predicted model, not a curated record. NCBI's taxonomy places the organism in Eukaryota, Viridiplantae, Streptophyta, Magnoliopsida, Brassicales, Brassicaceae. The transcript has 3 exons.
AUCAUUAGCGCAAUUUUAACCACUCGACAUAUUUUCUAAAGAAUGAAAAACUAUACAGCUACAUGGCUUUAGUGACCAUCGUUUUCUUCUGCUCAGCUUACAGCACCAAUUUCUUCCUGAUAACUUUCCAUAUGAGAGACUUGAGAGGCAAUGAACAUGAAAUGAUGUGUGCUUUGUAAUUCAGCAGUAUUGUGUGUCGGGCUCUUAUAUUCAUCACUUGAUCAAGAGGCAUGUUUCCAGAACGACCUUCUGAUAGCAUAAGCAGUAAAGCAUAAAACAUGGUUUCGUUUCUUUAGAGGAGUCUGCUCAUCUUUGUAUCUCUGGCGACCGUAUAUCAAGAACUUGCAAGUCGGAUUUCAAUACACGUCAGUUUAUUUGUAAAUAGUAUAUGUGAAAUACUCAGAGUAUUAUACAUGUAACAAUGGGUCAUUGUUUGCUAUUAUGUUGUCCAUAAUUUGAGUGUCAUUACUUCAGUGUCUACUUCUGAUAAUAUUUUACAUCUGUAUGAUUACAGCUUUGGCUUCUUUAGUUACAAAUAUUCAUAUCUUUUUUAAUAAAUUUAACUUUAUAUAGUCUGAUUUUUUUUUAAAAAAGGUGGUAAGCUAUAAACUUAAGAUACACUUAGACUCAUACCUUUAAGUGUUUUAUUGGCAAAUAAAUGUUUGCGAACUUUAAUUUUUUUUUUUUUGAGAUUCUACUGCCAUAAUAGUUUAAGGUUUUUUGAAAUAUUACUAAUUAAUUGUUAUUGAUUCGAAGAUUUUCAAAUUUCAUCAAAAUUCUUUAUAUAUUUAUGAUAAUAGUUUUUCAUUCUAUUUUAACAAAAUUUAACGUUAAUAAAAUAUAAUUUAUCUUUUUUAUUCAUAAGAUACAAAUUUCAAAAUAUUUUGGUAAUUAAAAUAAUAGAUUUAAGAUUUAAAAUCCGCUAUGUAAUUUGUUAUUUAAAUAUCACAACAACAAAUUAGUGUUAGAGUUUUGAGAUUAUCUUUCACUGUUUAGGGUUGGUACUUUUAGGGUUAGAUGGGAUCUAUAGUUAGGUUUAGGUAGGGUUUAGGGUUAUCUUUAGG